RNAcentral lists this ribosomal RNA (276 nucleotides) under Oceanimonas smirnovii. Its description in RNAcentral is "partial 16S ribosomal RNA". It matches the Rfam family "Bacterial small subunit ribosomal RNA", at positions 30 to 298 of the family's 1533-position model. The record is from RNAcentral. Lineage: Bacteria; Pseudomonadati; Pseudomonadota; Gammaproteobacteria; Aeromonadales; Aeromonadaceae.
AUUGAACGCUGGCGGCAGGCCUAACACAUGCAAGUCGAGCGGUAACAGAAGAGUAGCUUGCUACUUUUGCUGACGAGCGGCGGACGGGUGAGUAAUGCUUGGGGAUCUGCCCGGUCGAGGGGGAUAACCGUUGGAAACGACGGCUAAUACCGCAUACGCCCUACGGGGGAAAGCAGGGGACCUUCGGGCCUUGCGCGAUUGGAUGAACCCAAGUGAGAUUAGCUUGUUGGUGAGGUAACGGCUCACCAAGGCGACGAUCUCUAGCUGGUCUGAGAG